This 268-nucleotide ribosomal RNA is filed under the name uncultured bacterium. RNAcentral describes it as "partial 16S ribosomal RNA". It matches the Rfam family "Bacterial small subunit ribosomal RNA", at positions 335 to 592 of the family's 1533-position model. The record is from RNAcentral.
ACUCCUACGGGAGGCAGCAGUGGGGAAUAUUGGACAAUGGGGGAAACCCGUAGCAUCCAGCCAUGCCGCGUGUGUGAAGAAGGCCUUCGGGUUGUAAAGCACUUUCAGUGGGGAGGAAAGGUUGAUGGUUAAUACCUAUCAGCUGUGACGUUACCCACAGAAGAAGCACCGGCUAACUCCGUGCCAGCAGCCGCGGUAAUACGGAGGGUGCAAGCGUUAAUCGGAAUUACUGGGCGUAAAGCGUGCGCAGGCGGUCUGUUAAGCGAGA